RNAcentral lists this ribosomal RNA (429 nucleotides) under Chloroflexota bacterium. RNAcentral's name for it is "Chloroflexi bacterium partial 16S ribosomal RNA". It matches the Rfam family "Bacterial small subunit ribosomal RNA", at positions 355 to 776 of the family's 1533-position model. The record is from RNAcentral. Lineage: Bacteria; Bacillati; Chloroflexota.
UGGGGAAUAUUGCACAAUGGGCGCAAGCCUGAUGCAGCCAUGCCGCGUGUAUGAAGAAGGCCUUCGGGUUGUAAAGUACUUUCAGUCGGGAGGAAGGUGGUAAGGUUAAUAACCUUAUCAAUUGACGUUACCGACAGAAGAAGCACCGGCUAACUCCGUGCCAGCAGCCGCGGUAAUACGGAGGGUGCAAGCGUUAAUCGGAAUUACUGGGCGUAAAGCGCACGCAGGCGGUUGAUUGAGUCAGAUGUGAAAUCCCCGGGCUUAACCCGGGAAUUGCAUCUGAUACUGGUCAGCUAGAGUAGUGUAGGGGGGGGUAGAAUUCCAUGUGUAGCGGUGAAAUGCGUAGAGAUGUGGAGGAAUACCGGUGGCGAAGGCGGCCCCCUGGACAAAGACUGACGCUCAGGUGCGAAAGCGUGGGGAGCAAACAGG